This 250-nucleotide ribosomal RNA is filed under the name uncultured bacterium. Its description in RNAcentral is "partial 16S ribosomal RNA". It matches the Rfam family "Bacterial small subunit ribosomal RNA", at positions 524 to 773 of the family's 1533-position model. The record is from RNAcentral.
UACGGAGGGGGCUAGCGUUGUUCGGAAUUACUGGGCGUAAAGCGCACGUAGGCGGAUCGGAAAGUUGGGGGUGAAAUCCCGGGGCUCAACCUCGGAACUGCCUUCAAAACUAUCGGUCUUGAGUUCGAGAGAGGUGAGUGGAAUUCCGAGUGUAGAGGUGAAAUUCGUAGAUAUUCGGAGGAACAUCAGUGGCGAAGGCGGCUCACUGGCUCGAUACUGACGCUGAGGUGCGAAAGCGUGGGGAGCAAAC